UCCGGUUUGUCACCGGCAGUCUCGUUAGAGUCCCCAACUGAAUGCUGGCAACUAGAGACAAGGGUUGCGCUCGUUGCGGGACUUAACCCAACAUCUCACGACACGAGCUGACGACAGCCAUGCAGCACCUGUGUUACCGCUCCCUUUCGGGCACACCCGCCUCUCGGCGGGCUUCGGUACAUGUCAAGGGUAGGUAAGGUUUUUCGCGUUGCAUCGAAUUAAUCCACAUAAUCCACCGCUUGUGCGGGUCCCCGUCAAUUCCUUUGAGUUUUAAUCUUGCGACCGUACUCCCCAGGCGGUCAACUUCACGCGUUAGCUACGUUACCAAAUCCUUAAUUAGAUCCGACAACUAGUUGACAUCGUUUAGGGCGUGGACUAC
RNAcentral lists this unclassified non-coding RNA (379 nucleotides) under uncultured Gammaproteobacteria bacterium. RNAcentral's name for it is "contains 16S-23S intergenic spacer region". The record is from RNAcentral. Lineage: Bacteria; Pseudomonadati; Pseudomonadota; Gammaproteobacteria.